This 1300-nucleotide ribosomal RNA is filed under the name Hemigrapha atlantica. RNAcentral describes it as "eukaryotic LSU rRNA". It matches the Rfam family "Eukaryotic large subunit ribosomal RNA", at positions 72 to 1061 of the family's 3401-position model. The record is from RNAcentral. Lineage: Eukaryota; Fungi; Ascomycota; Dothideomycetes; Asterinales.
GGAUUGCCUCAGUAACGGCGAGUGAAGCGGCAACAGCUCAAAUUUGAAAUCUGGCCUCGGCCCGAGUUGUAAUUUGGAGAGGAUGCUUUGGGGUCGUCCCCGGCCCAAGUCCCUUGGAACAGGGCGUCGCAGAGGGUGAGAAUCCCGUACACGGCCGGGUGCCGGCCCCGUGUAAAGCUCCUUCGACGAGUCGAGUUGUUUGGGAAUGCAGCUCCAAAUGGGAGGUAUAUUUCUUCUAAAGCUAAAUACCGGCCAGAGACCGAUAGCGCACAAGUAGAGUGAUCGAAAGAUGAAAAGCACUUUGGAAAGAGAGUUAAACAGUACGUGAAAUUGUUGAAAGGGAAGCGUUUGCGGCCAGACUUGAUGGCGGUUGCUCAGCCGGUCUUUGCCCGGUGCACUCUUCCACCCUCAGGCCAGCAUCAGCUUGGGUGGCCGGAAAAAGGCGUUGGGAACGUGGCUCUCCGGAGUGUUACAGCCCUUCGCACAAUACGGCCCGCCCUGACUGAGGACAGCGUUCGCUUGGAUGCUGGCGUAAUGGCAGCCAACGGCCCGUCUUGAAACACGGACCAAGGAGUCUAGCACAUGUGCGAGUGUUUGGGUGUCAAACCCGUACGCGCAAUGAAAGUGAACGGAGGUGGGAACUUUUGUGCACCAUCGACCGAUCCUGAUGUCUUCGGAAGGAUUUGAGUAUGAGCACACGUGCUGGGACCCGAAAGAUGAUGAACUAUGCCUAAAUAGACUGAAGCCGCCCGAAAGGGCGGUGGAAGGUCGCAGCGGUUCUGACGUGCAAAUCGAUCGUCAAAUUUGGGUAUAGGGGCGAAAGACUAAUCGAAUCAUGAACCUCCCCCACUAGGUGAUUAGGAGGCGAGCCUCACCAGCCGCCUGGUGUCGGAAGAUGCAAUAUCGUUAAAUUGCGGGGACUGGCGUGAACCGCUUGGCUACCAGAGCCUGCCCGAAAGGGCCGGUCUCCCCCCUGCGCGCGACGGUGCGUCGGGGUACGGUAAGGACGCCGGCGGGUGCCAGAUCCGCAGCCAACCCCGAGGGUAGUACCAGCCCUCGGGUGCAGUUCACAGACUAGAAAUCGGUAGGUACCCCAUCCGCGGGUGCUUAAGGUAUAGUCGAUGCCCCCCAAAAGGGGGUUACGGGAUCCUCCUACGUCCUGGAGGUCCCUAGGAGCCGUGGAAGCUAGUAGCUGGUUCCAGCCGAAGUUUCCCUCAGGAUAGCAGUGACGAUUCAGUUUUAUGAGGUAAAGCGAAUGAUUAGAGGCCUUGGGGUUGAAACAACCUUAACCUAUUCUCAA